GACGAACGCUGGCGGCGUGCUUAACACAUGCAAGUCGAACGGAAAGGCCCUGCUUUUGUGGGGUGCUCGAGUGGCGAACGGGUGAGUAACACGUGAGUAACCUGCCCUUGACUUUGGGAUAACUUCAGGAAACUGGGGCUAAUACCGGAUAGGAGCUCCUGCUGCAUGGUGGGGGUUGGAAAGUUUCGGCGGUUGGGGAUGGACUCGCGGCUUAUCAGCUUGUUGGUGGGGUAGUGGCUUACCAAGGCUUUGAAGGGUAGCCGGCCUGAGAGGGUGACCGGCCACAUUGGGCCUGAGAUACGGCCCAGUCUCCUACGGGAGGCAGCAGUGGGGAAUAUUGCACAAUGGGCGGAAGCCUGAUGCAGCAACGCCGCGUGCGGGAUGACGGCCUUCGGGUUGUAAACAGCUUUCGCCUGUGACGAAGCGUGAGUGACGGUAAUGGGUAAAGAAGCACCGGCUAACUACGUG
RNAcentral lists this ribosomal RNA (468 nucleotides) under uncultured bacterium. RNAcentral describes it as "partial 16S ribosomal RNA". It matches the Rfam family "Bacterial small subunit ribosomal RNA", at positions 28 to 507 of the family's 1533-position model. The record is from RNAcentral.